RNAcentral lists this ribosomal RNA (235 nucleotides) under uncultured bacterium. RNAcentral's name for it is "partial 16S ribosomal RNA". It matches the Rfam family "Bacterial small subunit ribosomal RNA", at positions 524 to 758 of the family's 1533-position model. The record is from RNAcentral.
UACGGGGGGGGCAAGCGUUGUUCGGAAUUACUGGGCGUAAAGGGCUCGUAGGCGGCCAACUAAGUCAGACGUGAAAUCCCUCGGCUUAACCGGGGAACUGCGUCUGAUACUGGAUGGCUUGAGUUCGGGAGAGGGAUGCGGAAUUCCAGGUGUAGCGGUGAAAUGCGUAGAUAUCUGGAGGAACACCGGUGGCGAAGGCGGCAUCCUGGACCGAUACUGACGCUGAUGAGCGAAA